RNAcentral lists this ribosomal RNA (438 nucleotides) under uncultured bacterium. RNAcentral's name for it is "bacterial SSU rRNA". It matches the Rfam family "Bacterial small subunit ribosomal RNA", at positions 917 to 1350 of the family's 1533-position model. The record is from RNAcentral.
GGGCCCGCACAAGCGGUGGAGUAUGUGGUUUAAUUCGACGCAACGCGCAGAACCUUACCCGGCCUUGACAUCCUGUGAAUCCCCCCUAAAAGGGGGAGUGCCUCCUCACGGAGGAAUACAGUGACAGGUGCUGCAUGGCUGUCGUCAGCUCGUGUCGUGAGAUGUUCGGUUAAGUCCGGCAACGAGCGCAACCCCUGUCUCUAGUUGCCAGCAUUUCGGAUGGGCACUUUAGAGAGACUCCCGGUGUCAAACCGGAGGAAGAUGGGGAUGACGUCAAGUCCUCAUGGCCCUUAUGGUCGGGGCUACACACGUACUACAAUGGCGCGUACAAAGGGAAGCAAUACCGCGAGGUGGAGCCAAUCCCAAAAAGGCGCCUCAGUUCGGAUUGGAGUCUGCAACUCGACUCCAUGAAGUCGGAAUCGCUAGUAAUCGUGGAUC